This is a long non-coding RNA of Carassius gibelio (silver crucian carp), 2747 nucleotides long. RefSeq lists it as uncharacterized. NCBI's taxonomy places the organism in Eukaryota, Metazoa, Chordata, Actinopteri, Cypriniformes, Cyprinidae. The record is from RefSeq and is a predicted model, not a curated record. The transcript has 4 exons.
ACUGUUUACUAAGAGAACGGCAGCUGCACACAAGUUUUUCCUGCCUGUUAUUUUGGAUGUUUUUCGGGGUUUGGCGUUUCAAAGUGUUAGUUCAUGAUCAUAAAUGUACACAAGACAGACUCAAUGACGGCUGAGUAGAACUGUUUCAGCAGCUCCUGUGGCAGGUUAAACUUCCUCAGCUGGCGAAGGAAAUACAACCUUUGCUGGGCCUUUUUCACAAUGGAGUCAAUGUGAUUGUCCCACUUCAGGUCCUGAGAGAUGGUGGUGCCCAGGAACCUGAAUGACUCCACUGCAGUCACAGUGCUGUUCAUGAUGGAAAACUUACUCUGGAACAACAGUCUGUGCUGUGAGAUGAGAACAGAGACACUUUGAGCUUUAACCACUAACCAUCGACCAACUGCUGACUGAUGAGAAAACAUCAUUAGCUUGUGAGAGACAAAGACAAACUGAACCACAGUGAUCUGAACUGAAGACAGCGACUGUAACACAUUUCAGUUUCAUUCAGCAACAUGAACGGUGAAAAUCAGACCUUGAUGGAUGAGCAAAGUUAUUAUUUUGAUACUGGUUAUUAUUACAAUAUUACUGAUUAUCUGAUUGAUGAAACUCAAUAUAAUUCUUCAGAUAUCAUAAGGAGUAUCUUCCUCAUCACUAGUGCUUGUGUGGUUCUGCCAUUUCUGGUUUGGGCUUUUUGUCUUCUGCACCUUCACAGAAAGAUCACAGGCCGAACCUCAGUCUUCAUCUUCCUCCUCCUCCUCAAUGACCUGAUACAAUUACCCCUUCAUCUAUAUAUACUGGCAGGGUUUCUGACAGAAUACAGAUACUUUAUCCUUGAGCUUGUCCAGUUUUGGUUGGGAUUACAUUGGUGUGGUUUUCAUCUGCAUCAGCUGGUGGCUCUGGAGGGGAUCUUGACUCUGAAAUAUCCGCUUUGUUCUGCUCGUAUUUUCUCACUGCCCUGUUACAUCAUAAUCUCCAUCCUUGUGCUUUUUUUUUCUAUAGUGAGUGCGAUAUUUAGUUCCAUGCAUUCACAAACUACAAACAUGUCAUUAUUCAGUCUCUGCACAAGUUUUGUUCCUCUGAUCUUAUUGGCUGUAUCAUCUAUAAUCAGCUGUAAAGCCUCUUCCACUCCUGUCAGAAAAAACAUACGUUCAGUGCUCACUGUUGCUAUUCUUACAUAUGUUAUGAUGUACUUACCUUUCAUGUUCCUCAUCUGUGUGGAUUUACUUCAUUUAGGUCCAUAUGUCAGCCCAUCUUGGUUGUUAAUAUCUUUCUGUUUGAUGAAUUUGAGAGUGAUUUCAAGCCCUAUUCUGUGUGUUUUGGUCUGCAGACAAAAUCUCAGAGAUGUUCAGACGCCACAAACACACACAGAACCCAACGCUGAUGAGACGUCAGUCUGAACUUGAGUUUCAUUAGUCCUCACGUCUGAAUCUGGCUUCAAAACAUACACCCAUCAGUAUAAUGAAAAAUUAUUAAUAAAAUAAAUAAUAUAUGACUUUAAGAUUGAUUCAUUUUAAAUGUCUGUGAUUGCUAAAAGUGAAAGUGUGCUCUCUAUGCCAAAAACAGCACAAAUUGAGUUUCCAUCUCUUUAAUGAUCAUUUUGACAGUUUGUUUAAUAUUAUAAUAUAUGAAUAUGUAAAAAAAACUCAAAUCUAAAUGGUCAUGUUUGUUGUUUAUGAUUGAUUUCAAUAUUCAGCAAUUUAAAGUCUUGUACGGGGCUUCCCAUAUAUAAAAGAGUAACAUUCAAUGUGAUUUCAGCUGUCAAUCAUCCAUAUAUUAGAAUAAAACAUCUAACACAAUGCAGUUCUGCCCAGAAAAUGAUUUACACACAGAUCAUUAACAUUUGGACCUGAAAUGGUAUCAAAACUACAAAUAUAUGAGCAUCUCCCUCAAAUGAACACAUUACAGUCCACAGAGAUUGUUUUUAAAGACCACAAUAAAAAAAUCCCCCAAAAUACAAAAAUACAAAGACCUUCUUUUUUUUUAGCUUCUGCCUUUGCUAACAUUCGGACGUUCUGUCUUACUGCUCUGUGCUUUGCUUCUUAUUUCUGUACUUUUCUCUGAUUUUUCUAAGAUUUUUACUUCAGCAGAUCAGCACAGUGCUCAAACAACAGAUUUUUGGCACAAAUGCUAAAACUAAAAACUCUUUGGGACUGGAAUAAUACUACAAAAAUCACCCCCUCAGCAUACAGCCGGUGAGUCCCAUGAAUCUUCUGAAUCUCAACAGUUUACACCAAGUGUAGAGGAACAAGCCGAAACUGAUCGCCACACUAAUCAAUGGCAUAAAUAGGGAAGGAGACCCAAAGCAACACGAGACAUAUUUCUGCCAUAGCUUCCUCUACCCCAGAUUCGACUAUGACAAGGCUUGUGAAUCCUGGUAUUCUACCACCCCCUAUACAUCUGGAGAACAGAUUUGAAGCAUUAAUGAAUGUGGGUGAGGAAUCCCCAAAUGUGAUUAAACAUGGAUCGGAUCAGCCAGCACUCCGCUACUAACAGACGCUCAAGGACGAGCAGCUCAGAGCGCAGCCGAACCAAGGACUCUGAUAGUGGGUGACUAUUAUAUAUAUAUGUGUGUGUGUGUGUGUGUUUGUUUGUUUCAUAUACUUUCAUAUAUAUUCAUUUGUAUAUAUUUGUAAAUAACUUUUCAAUAUACAGUACUCAAACUCUCUAUACUGAGUGAGUUAAAUUGUUCACCAUUCAAAGUGAAUUUGUGCCCUCACAAGACUUGGAGAAUUAAACAUACAUGUCAUUUA